This 1147-nucleotide long non-coding RNA is filed under the name Cyanistes caeruleus (blue tit). RNAcentral's name for it is "lncRNA (ENSCCEG00000013741.1)". The record is from RNAcentral. Lineage: Eukaryota; Metazoa; Chordata; Aves; Passeriformes; Paridae.
CCAGAGCUAUCACCGGGCCUCAUGGGAGAUGUGACUACAGCAUCGGACAUGGGACUGUUUGUUCACUCACUUUCUGUGAAGAGAGUUUUGAACUGUGUUUUGAAUAGACAGCAUUUUCUUUGUGUGGUUGGUAAAUAACACAGAGCAAAGUUAGUCAGCAAGUUGCAUAGCUUCUGCAUUCUGAUUCUUUGGAGCCCUUUUGUACCAAGCUUGACAGGAUGUUUUUAACAGAAUGUGACCUCACUGGAAUACCAGAGGUAAGGAAAAAAGUUAUUGGGGCUGUUGUGGAAUAUUUUGCACAGAGCUGGACGAAAGUACUGCUUUAAAAUGCCUUUUGGAAAGAAGACAGUCUCAUGGUGAACCAGUCAACACCUUGUUUAGUGAAAAUCAAUGUCUUUCAGUCCUUUAAAUUAUAGGAAGUUUUAAUGAGAUUUUCAAUUUCCCACACGUGGAAAAAGAGGCUGAUUUGCAAAUCUUAGAACGAUUAUGUACUUGCUCAUUGAGCAAAGGCCCAGUUCUAGAGACAGAUCAUCAAAAUGUUUUCUUUCUAACACAGCAGACAAUAAGCAGAUCAGAUCCAGUUGUUCAUCCAAGUCCUAGGAGCAGCAGCGUGAGUAUCGGAGCGGUGGCAAACCCAGCAAGACCGGGCAACCUUGCGGACAGCCAUCCUCAGUCCCCGGCUGAAGGUAGGCAAUGACUAGUCCUCAGAUUACAUCAUGCAAGGCCUAUGAACUGCUCCAUGUCACCUUCUGGAGUCUGACUUCUCUCCAGUAGUUGCCUCAGGGAGGUUGACUCUGUCUUGAAGUUCAGAUCAUUUAUGAAUUUGGGUUGAAUCUGAGCACCUUCCUACCACAAAAGAUAAAAGAUGGAAUGUGAGCUGCUGUAGCAUAAUGGGAUGUCCUACAAUAUAGACUGAGCUAAAGGAGGAACACAACAACAGAAGGAAGAAAGAUACACGGAGCAUCAUGAUUUUAUAGAAGCUUGAACAAAGCCCAGGUGGGAGCCAAACACACUGCAGGAAUUUCAGAUGAAAAGAAAAAGAGCUGGAACUCUUGAGAUAUUUCCAUAUUUAUUUACUGUUUGAGGAGUUAUUGCUUUUAGAAUUUUACAAAUUAAUAAAUGCAUUAGCUUUGCUUUAUGGUUUCCA